UACGGAGGGUGCGAGCGUUGUCCGGAAUCAUUGGGCGUAAAGGGCGCGUAGGUGGCCCGGUCAGCGUGCGGUGAAAGCUCGGGGCUCAACCCCGAGUCGGCCGUGCGAACUGCUGGGCUUGAGCACUGUAGAGGCAGGCGGAAUUCCGGGUGUAGCGGUGGAAUGCGUAGAGAUCCGGAAGAACACCGGUGGCGAAGGCGGCAUUCUGGACCGAAACUGACGCUGAUGCGCGAAAGCCAGGGGAGCAAACGGG
Molecule: ribosomal RNA, 253 nt
Filed under: uncultured bacterium
Lineage: Bacteria
Description: partial 16S ribosomal RNA
Rfam family: Bacterial small subunit ribosomal RNA
Source: RNAcentral